Molecule: small nuclear RNA, 95 nt
Filed under: Moschus moschiferus (Siberian musk deer)
Lineage: Eukaryota; Metazoa; Chordata; Mammalia; Artiodactyla; Moschidae
Source: RNAcentral
GUGCUCGCUUCGGGAGCACAUAUACUAAAAUUGGAACUAUACAGAGAAGAGUAGCAUGGCCCCUGCGCAAGAUGGGUGAGGUGAAACUUUCAUUA